GCUGCCCCUGAGAACUUCUGCCUCGCCGGACCCUACCUCCAGGGACAGCUCUCCGUGAUAGGACUCUUUCCGCUGGCACCACUGGGACAUCCUGACUGACAUCCGGAGGUUACUGGCUAAGGCAAAAACCUAUUGCCAGGCUAUUUUAGGUGAACUAACAGAAAGAAAAAAAAAAAGGACAGAAGAAAAUCAGCGCGGGGACGUCACAGCUAUUUUUAGAUGGACCUCCUCUCCCUCCAGGACUCAGGCGCUGUUUGGGAACCUGGUGUCUUGCCUCCCGCAGCCUGCCCUGCCAUGCCCAGAGGAAGCAUCCACAGACACGCUGUUUGCAGCCUGUUUUGAAGAGGAUCGCAGGGCCCGGCACAGAGGGGGCAAAGGAAGAACACUGUUGAUGACUCACUGCCCGGCGCAUAAGGUGUGUGGGGGCCAGGAGAGGCUGACCGGUUGGCGUCUCCUUUCUCCAUUAGGGUUUCUUUGCCUCCUGCUCACCACUGUGUUUGGGCAGAUUCACAGGGUUGCCAUGGGAACAAAUUGCCUGGAGGAAAGAACAAAAACAAGCACUGUGAAGACUUGGGUUUGAAUCCUGGCUCUGCUAUUUUCCUGCUCUAUGGCUUUGGCCAUGCUAUCAAAUGUCCACCACCCUUCUCUACAAUCUGCACUUCCUGAAAAAUGGAGACCCUCUGGCCUCCCU
Molecule: long non-coding RNA, 691 nt
Organism: Tupaia belangeri chinensis (Chinese tree shrew)
Lineage: Eukaryota; Metazoa; Chordata; Mammalia; Scandentia; Tupaiidae
Exons: 3
Source: RefSeq, a predicted model, not a curated record